AUUGAACGCUGGCGGCAUGCUUUACACAUGCAAGUCGAACGGUAACAGGCCUUCGGGCGCUGACGAGUGGCGAACGGGUGAGUAAUGCAUCGGAACGUGCCCAGUCGUGGGGGAUAACUAUCCGAAAGGAUAGCUAAUACCGCAUACGAUCUGCGGAUGAAAGCGGGGGACCUUCGGGCCUCGCGCGAUUGGAGCGGCCGAUGUCAGAUUAGGUAGUUGGUGGGGUAAAGGCUCACCAAGCCAACGUUCUGUAGCUGGUCUGAGAGGACGACCAGCCACACUGGGACUGAGACACGGCCCAGAGUCCUACGGGAGGCAGCAGUGGGGAAUUGUGGACAAUGGGCGCAAGCCUGAUCCAGCAAUGCCGCGUGCAGGAAGAAGGCCUUCGGGUUGUAAACUGCUUUUGUACGGAACGAAACGGCUCUGGUUAAUACCCGGGGCUAAUGACGGUACCGUAAGAAUAAGCACCGGCUAACUACGUGCCAGCAGCCGCCGCAG
RNAcentral lists this ribosomal RNA (498 nucleotides) under uncultured bacterium. RNAcentral's name for it is "partial 16S ribosomal RNA". It matches the Rfam family "Bacterial small subunit ribosomal RNA", at positions 30 to 523 of the family's 1533-position model. The record is from RNAcentral.